GAUGAACGCUGGCGGCGUGCUUAACACAUGCAAGUCGAACGGUGAACCCGGAGCUUGCUCUGUGGGAUCAGUGGCGAACGGGUGAGUAACACGUGAGCAACCUGCCCCUGACUCUGGGAUAAGCGCUGGAAACGGCGUCUAAUACUGGAUAUGUGACGUGACCGCAUGGUCUGCGUUUGGAAAGAUUGUUCGGUUGGGGAUGGGCUCGCGGCCUAUCAGCUUGUUGGUGAGGUAAUGGCUCACCAAGGCGUCGACGGGUAGCCGGCCUGAGAGGGUGACCGGCCACACUGGGACUGAGACACGGCCCAGACUCCUACGGGAGGCAGCAGUGGGGAAUAUUGCACAAUGGGCGCAAGCCUGAUGCAGCAACGCCGCGUGAGGGAUGACGGCCUUCGGGUUGUAAACCUCUUUUAGCAGGGAAGAAGCGAAAGUGACGGUACCUGCAGAAAAAGCGCCGGCUAACUACGUG
RNAcentral lists this ribosomal RNA (469 nucleotides) under uncultured bacterium. Its description in RNAcentral is "partial 16S ribosomal RNA". It matches the Rfam family "Bacterial small subunit ribosomal RNA", at positions 28 to 507 of the family's 1533-position model. The record is from RNAcentral.